Podarcis lilfordi (Lilford's wall lizard) is the source of this 1227-nucleotide non-coding RNA. The record is from the annotation of a GenBank genome assembly. Lineage: Eukaryota; Metazoa; Chordata; Lepidosauria; Squamata; Lacertidae.
GCAGGCUCCAGCGCAGCCUCCAAGGCAGGCUCCAGCGCAGGCUCCAAGGCAGGCUCCAGCGCAGCCUCCAAGGCAGGCUCCAGCGCAGGCUUCAAGGCAGGCUCCAGCGCAGGCUCCAAGGCAGGCUCCAGCGCAGGCUCCAAGGCAGGCUCCAGCGCAGCCUCCAAGGCAGGCUCCAGCGCAGGCUCCAAGGCAGCCUCCAAGGCAGCCUCCAAGGCAGGCUCCUGCCCAGCGACGUCCGGAUGAACAGGUAGGGAAAAGUUGGCAGAACCCACACGCUAUUGUGCUAUUGCUAUGUUCGGUUUGUGGGGAGAAUAGUGCCUUUUUCCUGUGGGUGGGCAGCCAGCAGCAGGGUGGCAUGUGGGCCUAGGGAAAUGACUUUGCUGGGGACCCUCAGAACUCGUCCCCUGAAUGUUUGUUCCCCGUUGUACCAAAGUGGGAACUGUCUUGCAAUUUAGGCUUGUGGCACACAGGUAGAGAAAGUGAGCUGUUCAUGUCUUACGAUGCCUGGGAGAAGAGAGUAGUGGGUGGGGGCAGCCUCUGCUACUCCUUCUAGAAACAUGAGUGCAAUUCUGGGUGGGAAACAUGUUUUCCCAUCAUGGAUUUGGGGGGGUGCUGCUGCCAGCCAGUGUGGGCUAUUAUAUAAUAUUAUAUAAGAUGCUAAGGAUCUUUUCCCUGUAGGCCUGUUUAUUUUGCUGUAUUUCAAUGAUUGCAUAUUUUCUGACAUGGUUUUAAAGUGUCUUGAGAUUCCCACAUAAUUGGUGGCAGGUAAAUACUCUAAAAAAAUUAAAUUACUUCCCCCCUAUCAUGUCACAAAGUCAAUUGACAUAGAGCCUAAAAUAAUGCCAAUGAGCUCUUCUACCUGGACGUGCAACAUUAGCCCUUAACACAACAGCCCAUUUCCCCCCCUUACUUGAAGGAGUCAUUGGAUAGCUCAGUCAGUAGAGCAUGAGACCCUCAGAGUUGUGGGUUUGAUGCCCACGUUGGGCAAAAGGAUUCCUGCAUUGUUGGGGGUUCAACUACAUGACCCUGGUGUUCCCUUCCAACUCUACAAUUCUAUGCUUCUAUGAAUAAUGCAGGUCUGAGUAGUGAUCCUUUGGUCUUCAAGCCACAAGGAACCCCCAUCCCACAUGCAUCUCCCCCUGAAAUCCUUCCACUUUAAAGUGUGUGAAUAAAAUACUUUGGGUCAUGUGUCUCAUAGAACGUGCCUCCUGGCCGACAACAGGC